This is a long non-coding RNA of Cyprinus carpio carpio, 362 nucleotides long. The record is from Ensembl. NCBI's taxonomy places the organism in Eukaryota, Metazoa, Chordata, Actinopteri, Cypriniformes, Cyprinidae.
AGACGUAACCCAGCGGUUGAGUUAUUUAUUGCGGGGAUUUUUCUUAUCUUCUGGAGAGAGCAGUUCUAAGCGCCAUCGAUUUGAUGCAUUCGUCGGUAAAAUGCAGGUUAUAAAGGCAGUCGCAGUAUAUUUCGGCUUUAAAGUGAAAAGCAGGGCGGCGCGGUCUCAGCCGUGAGCAGUUCCCCGCCGAACACGACUCCAGCUCGGCACGAGAACAAGCGCGGCGCGGCGCACUUACGCUGGAAACAGAAUAACAGAGACUGGUUAAUAACACAUUAUCAUUUUGGAUGAAUUGAUGACCAGCCAAAAUGGACCUACAUUUCAAGCCAAGUUCCCCCUCAAAUCAUCAGCCCAGAUGUCUG